GACGAACGCUGGCGGCGUGCCUAAUACAUGCAAGUUGAGCGCUGAAGGUUGGUACUUGUACCAACUGGAUGAGCAGCGAACGGGUGAGUAACGCGUGGGGAAUCUGCCUUUGAGCGGGGGACAACAUUUGGAAACGAAUGCUAAUACCGCAUAAAAACUUUAAACACAAGUUUUAAGUUUGAAAGAUGCAAUUGCAUCACUCAAAGAUGAUCCCGCGUUGUAUUAGCUAGUUGGUGGGGUAAAGGCUCACCAAGGCGAUGAUACAUAGCCGACCUGAGAGGGUGAUCGGCCAAAUUGGGACUGAGACACGGCCCAAACGCCUACGGGAGGCAGCAGUAGGGAAUCUUCGGCAAUGGACGAAAGUCUGACCGAGCAACGCCGCGUGAGUGAAGAAGGGUUUCGGAUCGUAAAACUCUGUUGGUAGAGAAGAACGUUGGUGAGAGUGGAAAGCUCAUCAAGUGACGGUAACUACCCAGAAAGGGACGGCUAACUACGUG
This 497-nucleotide ribosomal RNA is filed under the name uncultured bacterium. Its description in RNAcentral is "partial 16S ribosomal RNA". It matches the Rfam family "Bacterial small subunit ribosomal RNA", at positions 28 to 507 of the family's 1533-position model. The record is from RNAcentral.